AGGAUUCUCUUAGUAACGGCGGAGUGAACAGAGAACAGCCCAGUACCGAAGCCUAUCUACGUUUGUGGACAAGGCAAUGUGGUAUUAAGAUGUUUGCCUGGGGUUGUCGGUCUAUUCCAAGUCCAGCAUAGAUUAUGGCUCUGGAUUUUGUCCAAAGCGGGUGAAAGACCCGUAGGGAUAGACUGUUCGGUAUGUCAGACAGCCCUCAGAUGCAUUCAUCGUGGAGUCGGAUAGCUUGAGAAUGCUGUCCAAAGUGGGUGGUAAACUCCAUCCAAGGCUAAAUAUUUGCACGAGUCCGAUAGCCAACAAGUACCGUGAGGGAAAGUUGAAAAGUACUCUGAAGAGAGAGUAAAUAGUACGUGAAGCCAUGCGUAGGGAAGCUGGUGGAGUCAAGCUGCAUGCCUCUGGAAUGAAGCCUGUGACUAUUGUGUGCUUGGUGGGGUGGUUGGUCGACUGGCUUGUAAGAAGUCAGGCAGAUUUAUCUGUUUCCGGUGAGCACUGGUUAGUGUGACGGAGUCGGCUGACUUGUUCCUCAUGUCGCAGGCGUACUUUCCUUAGGCAGACAUCACGAUCGACAAUGUUGUUGGCGUCUGGUAGUCAAACCGUCAGGUGUUGGGUUCUGAAUCCACGCCUGGCGGGGCGGCAGUUGGCUUGCUGGUCGACUCUGUUGCCCAGUGAGUUCUUUGUGGUUAUGGCCAGCCGACUACCAUUGUGUUAUGCUUUCAGCUAUACAACUUGUCGUUGCUCAGUGAUGCUUAGUGCUUUUGCUGGUUAUCCUGCCGACUGCGUAGGUGUGUUUCCGUUUCACACGGUGCAUGCUUGCUGCUGGUCGGUGGGGUGGAUUGCUGCUGGUUGCUAGGCUUUGAAAUCGUGUUGUUGUGGUAGA
RNAcentral lists this ribosomal RNA (886 nucleotides) under Diplectanum umbrinum. Its description in RNAcentral is "eukaryotic LSU rRNA". It matches the Rfam family "Eukaryotic large subunit ribosomal RNA", at positions 71 to 629 of the family's 3401-position model. The record is from RNAcentral. Lineage: Eukaryota; Metazoa; Platyhelminthes; Monogenea; Dactylogyridea; Diplectanidae.